UUUUAUUUGAGAGUUUGAUCCUGGCUCAGGAUGAACGCUGGCGGCGUGCCUAACCCAUGCAAGUUGAGCGAUUUACUUCGGUAAAGAGCGGCGGACGGGUGAGUAACGCGUGGGUAACCUACCC
RNAcentral lists this ribosomal RNA (124 nucleotides) under Clostridioides difficile. RNAcentral's name for it is "partial 16S ribosomal RNA". It matches the Rfam family "Bacterial small subunit ribosomal RNA", at positions 1 to 131 of the family's 1533-position model. The record is from RNAcentral. Lineage: Bacteria; Bacillati; Bacillota; Clostridia; Peptostreptococcales; Peptostreptococcaceae.